AUGUCAGGCUCCAAGGAGGUGGGGAUACCAGCUCCCAAUGCUUUGGCCACACUACCAGACAACAUCAAGUUUGUCACCCAAGUGCCAGGUUCUCAAGGGAAGAAAGGCAAAUCAAAAUCUAAAAGGAGUAAGAGUAACAAAGCCACUAGGCAAACCCACUCCAGCGACUUCCUUGUUCUCUCCAAGUGAGGAAGCAGCAAACAAGAAAGAGGUACAGGGUCACUCAGGUGAUGGUACCAAUGCAGGAGGCCUGGUUGCUGCUGUUGCUCCCAAGGGCUCAGAGAAGACUGCUAAGGCAUCACGCAGUGUAGCUGGCUCCAAAAAGGAAAAAGAGAACAGCUCAUCUAAGAGCAAGGACAGAAGUGAAGGUGUGGUGACUUGUUCAGAAAAGGAUCCUGGGGACCUCCAGUCAGUUCCCUUGGGAGGACGGGAUAGUCAGUAUGAUGGAAGUGCAGGGAUGGACACAGGAACCGUGGAGCCACUGGGAGUAUAGCAGCGCUCAAUCCUUCAGGAACUAAGCUGGAGCCAGAGGAAAGGGAGAAUGAGUGCUGGCCACUAAAGAAAGUCAAGUCUGAAAAGACGAAAUCUUCACCACAGCAGCGCUGCCACUGCACCUGAUAGUGCCAGUGGUCAAUAAUGAUAUCUCACCUCCCUGUGAGCAGAUCAUGGUCCAUACCCGAUCAGUUGGAGUCAACACAUGCGACGUGGCUCUACCCACAGUGCCUGAGUGCUUAGGCCCCUGUGAGCCUGGAAUCAGCUUCAACCUUGUAGGCAUCAUGUGGCAGGAAACAAAAGA
This 796-nucleotide long non-coding RNA is filed under the name Mus musculus (house mouse). Its description in RNAcentral is "long non-coding RNA chr2:37672207-37673003". Lineage: Eukaryota; Metazoa; Chordata; Mammalia; Rodentia; Muridae. The record is from RNAcentral.